RNAcentral lists this ribosomal RNA (2277 nucleotides) under Salmonella enterica subsp. diarizonae. Its description in RNAcentral is "partial 23S ribosomal RNA". It matches the Rfam family "Bacterial large subunit ribosomal RNA", at positions 676 to 2925 of the family's 2925-position model. Lineage: Bacteria; Pseudomonadati; Pseudomonadota; Gammaproteobacteria; Enterobacterales; Enterobacteriaceae. The record is from RNAcentral.
ACCGAGUCUUAAUUGGGCGUUAAGUUGCAGGGUAUAGACCCGAAACCCGGUGAUCUAGCCAUGGGCAGGUUGAAGGUUGGGUAACACUAACUGGAGGACCGAACCGACUAAUGUUGAAAAAUUAGCGGAUGACCUGUGGCUGGGGGUGAAAGGCCAAUCAAACCGGGAGAUAGCUGGUUCUCCCCGAAAGCUAUUUAGGUAGCGCCUCGUGAACUCAUCUCCGGGGGUAGAGCACUGUUUCGGCUAGGGGGCCAUCCCGGCUUACCAACCCGAUGCAAACUGCGAAUACCGGAGAAUGUUAUCACGGGAGACACACGGCGGGUGCUAACGUCCGUCGUGAAGAGGGAAACAACCCAGACCGCCAGCUAAGGUCCCAAAGUCAUGGUUAAGUGGGAAACGAUGUGGGAAGGCCCAGACAGCCAGGAUGUUGGCUUAGAAGCAGCCAUCAUUUAAAGAAAGCGUAAUAGCUCACUGGUCGAGUCGGCCUGCGCGGAAGAUGUAACGGGGCUAAACCAUGCACCGAAGCUGCGGCAGCGACACUUUAGUGUUGUUGGGUAGGGGAGCGUUCUGUAAGCCGUUGAAGGUGUCCUGUGAGGGGUGCUGGAGGUAUCAGAAGUGCGAAUGCUGACAUAAGUAACGAUAAAGCGGGUGAAAAGCCCGCUCGCCGGAAGACCAAGGGUUCCUGUCCAACGUUAAUCGGGGCAGGGUGAGUCGACCCCUAAGGCGAGGCCGAAAGGCGUAGUCGAUGGGAAACGGGUUAAUAUUCCCGUACUUGGUGUUACUGCGAAGGGGGGACGGAGAAGGCUAUGUUGGCCGGGCGACGGUUGUCCCGGUUUAAGCGUGUAGGUGUGUGUUCCAGGUAAAUCCGGUUCACUUUAACACUGAGGCGUGAUGACGAGGCACCACGGUGCUGAAGCAACAAAUGCCCUGCUUCCAGGAAAAGCCUCUAAGCAUCAGGUAACAUCAAAUCGUACCCCAAACCGACACAGGUGGUCAGGUAGAGAAUACCAAGGCGCUUGAGAGAACUCGGGUGAAGGAACUAGGCAAAAUGGUGCCGUAACUUCGGGAGAAGGCACGCUGACACGUAGGUGAAGUGAUUUACUCACGGAGCUGAAGUCAGUCGAAGAUACCAGCUGGCUGCAACUGUUUAUUAAAAACACAGCACUGUGCAAACACGAAAGUGGACGUAUACGGUGUGACGCCUGCCCGGUGCCGGAAGGUUAAUUGAUGGGGUCAGCGCAAGCGAAGCUCCUGAUCGAAGCCCCGGUAAACGGCGGCCGUAACUAUAACGGUCCUAAGGUAGCGAAAUUCCUUGUCGGGUAAGUUCCGACCUGCACGAAUGGCGUAAUGAUGGCCAGGCUGUCUCCACCCGAGACUCAGUGAAAUUGAACUCGCUGUGAAGAUGCAGUGUACCCGCGGCAAGACGGAAAGACCCCGUGAACCUUUACUAUAGCUUGACACUGAACAUUGAGCCUUGAUGUGUAGGAUAGGUGGGAGGCUUUGAAGCGUGGACGCCAGUCUGCGUGGAGCCGACCUUGAAAUACCACCCUUUAAUGUUUGAUGUUCUAACGUGGACCCGUAAUCCGGGUUGCGGACAGUGUCUGGUGGGUAGUUUGACUGGGGCGGUCUCCUCCUAAAGAGUAACGGAGGAGCACGAAGGUUGGCUAAUCCUGGUCGGACAUCAGGAGGUUAGUGCAAUGGCAUAAGCCAGCUUGACUGCGAGCGUGACGGCGCGAGCAGGUGCGAAAGCAGGUCAUAGUGAUCCGGUGGUUCUGAAUGGAAGGGCCAUCGCUCAACGGAUAAAAGGUACUCCGGGGAUAACAGGCUGAUACCGCCCAAGAGUUCAUAUCGACGGCGGUGUUUGGCACCUCGAUGUCGGCUCAUCACAUCCUGGGGCUGAAGUAGGUCCCAAGGGUAUGGCUGUUCGCCAUUUAAAGUGGUACGCGAGCUGGGUUUAGAACGUCGUGAGACAGUUCGGUCCCUAUCUGCCGUGGGCGCUGGAAGAUUGAGGGGGGCUGCUCCUAGUACGAGAGGACCGGAGUGGACGCAUCACUGGUGUUCGGGUUGUCAUGCCAAUGGCACUGCCCGGUAGCUAAAUGCGGAAAAGAUAAGUGCUGAAAGCAUCUAAGCACGAAACUUGCCCCGAGAUGAGUCUUCCCUGAGACUUUGAGUCUCCUGAAGGAACGUUAAAGACGAUGACGUUGAUAGGCCGGGUGUGUAAGCGCAGCGAUGCGUUGAGCUAACCGGUACUAAUGAACCGUGAGGCUUAACCUUACA